AGUGAACGCUGGCGGUAGGCCUAACACAUGCCAGUCGAACGGCAGCACAGUAAGAGCUUGCUCUUACGGGUGGCGAGUGGCGGACGGGUGAGGAAUACAUCGGAAUCUACUUUUUCGUGGGGGAUAACGGAGGGAAACUUACGCUAAUACCUCAUACGACCUACGGGUGAAAGCAGGGGAUCUUCGGACCUUUCGCGAUUGAAUAAGCCGAUGUCGGAUUAGCUAGUUGGCGGGGUAAAGGCCCACCCAGGCAACGAUCCGUAGCUGGUCUGAGAGGAUGAUCAGCCAAACUGGAACGGAGACACGCUCCAGACUCCUACGGGAGGAAGCAGUGGGGAAUAUUGGACAAUGGGCGCAAGCCUGAUCCAGCCCUACCGCGUGGGUGAAGAAGGCCUUCGGGUUGUAAAGCCCUUUUGUUGGGAAAGAAAAGCAGCAGGUUAAUACCCCGCUGUUCUGACGGUACCCAAAGAAUAAGCACCGGCUAACUUCGUG
Molecule: ribosomal RNA, 492 nt
Filed under: uncultured bacterium
Lineage: Bacteria
Description: partial 16S ribosomal RNA
Rfam family: Bacterial small subunit ribosomal RNA
Source: RNAcentral